This 467-nucleotide ribosomal RNA is filed under the name uncultured bacterium. RNAcentral's name for it is "partial 16S ribosomal RNA". It matches the Rfam family "Bacterial small subunit ribosomal RNA", at positions 28 to 506 of the family's 1533-position model. The record is from RNAcentral.
GACGAACGCUGGCGGCGUGCUUAACACAUGCAAGUCGAACGGAAAGGCCCUGCUUUUGUGGGGUGCUCGAGUGGCGAACGGGUGAGUAACACGUGAGUAACCUGCCCUUGACUUUGGGAUAACUUCAGGAAACUGGGGCUAAUACCGGAUAGGAGCUCCUGCUGCAUGGUGGGGGUUGGAAAGUUUCGGCGGUUGGGGAUGGACUCGCGGCUUAUCAGCUUGUUGGUGGGGUAGUGGCUUACCAAGGCUUUGACGGGUAGCCGGCCUGAGAGGGUGACCGGCCACAUUGGGACUGAGGUACGGCCCGGACUCCUCCGGGCGGCAGCAGUGGGGACUUUUGCACACUGGGCCGCAGCCUGAUGCAGCAACGCCGCGUGCGGGAUGACGGCCUUCGGGUUGUAAACCGCUUUCGCCUGUGACGAAGCGUGAGUGACGGUACUGGGUAAAGAAGCACCGGCUACCUCCGU